Molecule: ribosomal RNA, 397 nt
Filed under: uncultured bacterium
Lineage: Bacteria
Description: partial 16S ribosomal RNA
Rfam family: Bacterial small subunit ribosomal RNA
Source: RNAcentral
CCUACGGGUGGCAGCAGUGAGGAAUAUUGGUCAAUGGGCGCGAGCCUGAACCAGCCAAGUCGCGUGAGGGAGGACGGCCCUACGGGUUGUAAACCUCUUUUGCCGGGGAGCAACGGGCGCCACGUGUGGCGUCACUGAGAGUACCCGGAGAACAAGCAUCGGCUAACUCCGUGCCAGCAGCCGCGGUAAUACGGAGGAUGCGAGCGUUAUCCGGAUUUAUUGGGUUUAAAGGGUGCGUAGGCGGAUCGUUAAGUCAGGGGUAACAUUGUGGGGCUCAACCCCUUACCGACAUUGAACCUGGCUUUCUUGAGUGGGAGAGAAGGAUGCGGAAUGCGUGGUGUAGCGGUGAAAUGCAUAGAGAUCACGCAGAACCCCGAUUGCGAAGGCAGCAUGCCGG